AAGUCGUAACAAGGUUUCCGUAGGUGAACCUGCGGAAGGAUCAUUACUGAGUUACGGGUCUCCUUGUGAGCCCGAACCUCCAACCCUUUGUUAAAAACACUUUGUUGCUUUGGCAGGCCCGUCCAAUCCCUUCACCGGGAGACGACCGCCGGGGGCGUUUAGUCACCUCUGGUCAGUGCUUGCCGAUAGCCUAUUCAAAAUUCUUUAUUAAAUAAUGUCUGAAAAAUUAUAAUUAAAUAUAAUUAAAACUUUCAACAACGGAUCUCUUGGUUCUG
This 275-nucleotide unclassified non-coding RNA is filed under the name air metagenome. RNAcentral describes it as "partial contains small subunit ribosomal RNA, internal transcribed spacer 1, and 5.8S ribosomal RNA". The stretch from base 1 to 46 matches the Rfam family "Eukaryotic small subunit ribosomal RNA", at positions 1786 to 1831 of the family's 1831-position model. The record is from RNAcentral.